AAAUUGAAGAGUUUGAUCAUGGCUCAGAUUGAACGCUGGCGGCAGGCCUAACACAUGCAAGUCGAACGGUAACAGGAAGAAGCUUGCUUCUUUGCUGACGAGUGGCGGACGGGUGAGUAAUGUCUGGGAAACUGCCUGAUGGAGGGGGAUAACUACUGGAAACGGUAGCUAAUACCGCAUA
RNAcentral lists this ribosomal RNA (181 nucleotides) under Escherichia coli. RNAcentral describes it as "partial 16S ribosomal RNA". It matches the Rfam family "Bacterial small subunit ribosomal RNA", at positions 1 to 175 of the family's 1533-position model. The record is from RNAcentral. Lineage: Bacteria; Pseudomonadati; Pseudomonadota; Gammaproteobacteria; Enterobacterales; Enterobacteriaceae. RNAcentral also lists the same sequence under 1 other name.